This 547-nucleotide ribosomal RNA is filed under the name Salmonella enterica subsp. enterica serovar Virchow. RNAcentral describes it as "partial 23S ribosomal RNA". It matches the Rfam family "Bacterial large subunit ribosomal RNA", at positions 1 to 578 of the family's 2925-position model. The record is from RNAcentral. Lineage: Bacteria; Pseudomonadati; Pseudomonadota; Gammaproteobacteria; Enterobacterales; Enterobacteriaceae. RNAcentral also lists the same sequence under 1 other name.
GGGUUGUGAGGUUAAGCGACUAAGCGUACACGGUGGAUGCCCUGGCAGUCAGAGGCGAUGAAGGACGUGCUAAUCUGCGAUAAGCGCCGGUAAGGUGAUAUGAACCGUUAUAACCGGCGAUUUCCGAAUGGGGAAACCCAGUGUGAUUCGUCACACUAUCAUUAACUGAAUCCAUAGGUUAAUGAGGCGAACCGGGGGAACUGAAACAUCUAAGUACCCCGAGGAAAAGAAAUCAACCGAGAUUCCCCCAGUAGCGGCGAGCGAACGGGGAGGAGCCCAGAGCCUGAAUCAGCAUGUGUGUUAGUGGAAGCGUCUGGAAAGGCGCGCGAUACAGGGUGACAGCCCCGUACACAAAAGCGCAUGUGCUGUGAGCUCGAUGAGUAGGGCGGGACACGUGGUAUCCUGUCUGAAUAUGGGGGGACCAUCCUCCAAGGCUAAAUACUCCUGACUGACCGAUAGUGAACCAGUACCGUGAGGGAAAGGCGAAAAGAACCCCGGCGAGGGGAGUGAAAAAGAACCUGAAACCGUGUACGUACAAGCAGUGGGA